AAGGAUGAUUUAAUUUUCUGUGUUCUGCUCUUAAUGUGGAGAUACCCAGUUACGAUAGAAGGUGUUGUGCUGUGAUGUGAUAUCUUAGCAGUGCGCGGCAGCAGUCUGGUAAAACUAGAUUUUUAUGGUGCUCUUGAAUUCAAAAAUAGCACCCACCAAUCUUUUUCUGAUAUCUUGUGCUUAGUUACUGAAAUUCACAAAGCUUCUGGAACAGAACGAUAAAACAGAAGCCAAUUCUAUGGGUAUGUAAUGCCUCAGUGUCUUCUCUGCUGCCUUUCUGCCUACAUUGAGUCACUGUAUACAAUGACCUGGACCAAUGAGUUCUUCAGCCAUUAUUGAUGUGUGCCGUCUCUUUCUCUUUCUCUAUAGCAACAGAGUAACAGAUGAGUCUUUUGUAUGAUCAUAUAUGGCUCAAGCCCAGGCAAGGGGAUGCUCCUCCUAUUUUAAAGAUUCAUAAGAGAACCAAGCUGCACUUCAUCAGUCUCCACAGAGUUUGCUGCUAUGCUGAAAGAAAACUUUCCCUCCAACCUGAUUGUUUUGGAAGUUUGUUAAAACUGAAGAUUUCUGAGGCUAAAAAUUGUGCCACAUGUGAUUCAUGAAAAACAUUAAAGUUUCAACUAAUGACACUGUGUCGCCUUAUUUAUUUCCAAGAAAAAAAGAGAUCAAAAUUGGGGAGGGGGCUAAAGAAGCUGGCUAGAUAGCUCAGUGAGUUAGGCAUCUGACUGCAGAGCUAAAGCU
This 738-nucleotide long non-coding RNA is filed under the name Pogona vitticeps (central bearded dragon). RNAcentral describes it as "lncRNA (ENSPVIG00000022170.1)". Lineage: Eukaryota; Metazoa; Chordata; Lepidosauria; Squamata; Agamidae. The record is from RNAcentral.